Molecule: long non-coding RNA, 1653 nt
Organism: Drosophila willistoni
Lineage: Eukaryota; Metazoa; Arthropoda; Insecta; Diptera; Drosophilidae
Exons: 3
Source: RefSeq, a predicted model, not a curated record
UUUACUCUUUAAUUCUCGUCAUUUUUGUGUUUUGUUCCACCGUGUGAAAACCUGGCGAUAGGCAUGUGAAAACUUUUCGCCGUAAAAAAUGUGACCCUUAUGUCGUGGAUGUACUGUUAGUUACUGACAACCAUGGAAGUUGCCGCAACCAGCCGCAGAAAGUUUGGCAAAGGUGACCCACCCGGAGCCGCAGCAACCAGAUCCACACCCCAAAAACACUCGACUGGAAGAUGGAGGCCUCCGCCGGACGACGACGCUGCUUAAAUAUUAAUGCUCUGAGAGUCUGGGAGGAGACAGGCUGGGGCAGGCCAUGAAUAAAUUUUUGGCUAUGAAUUUUCAAUAGCCUCAACACACGGUUACAGUUCCAGUUGCACAGUUUUUCUUCUGAAUUUCGUUCAGAUCCAGGCUUUAAGUCAAGCCAAAGGUGUCGACCACAAGAACCGCAAAAAAUGUCGUAGAACAGGUACUAGAAAACAGAAAAAGGGUCAAUUGGAACUUGAAAUUAAUUUCAUUUCGAUGUGUACUUCCGUUGCCAUUGGCCAUGAACUUACCCAUUCCAUAUCCAUUGCUCCGGACUCUGCGUGGGAAUUUUAAAAGCGCGGCGGAGAGAGCAAGAGUAGGGUGAAACCGUAGAGAUGGAGAGGGAGUUGGACGUGCGUAUGGCGCCAAUUGCCAAAUGACCACAAAAACAACAUCACUCGCACACUGUUGACCCAAUAAAUAGAGGGCCCCCGGGUUGAGGACUUAAUCAAAAACCAAACCGGAAACAGUUCGUUCGCCCGGUCCCCCUCUCUGUAACGCAGCCAUUGGGCCAGGACAUUGCCCACUGAUUUUAUUUGCUUAUCCAGGAGUUUAUGAUGCUUUUAUUUGAUUUUUAUGCCUGCUGCUAUUUCCAUUUCUGUAAUUGAAUUGUCAUUGUCCUUGCCGUGGGUCCUGGCCCGAGUUGAGGUCCACUUUCUGUACUCUUCCUGGUUGGUCGACAGCGGCUUUGGCGGCUUGUCCGAGGCAUGUCAGAAAUGGUUUUGCGCUUGAUUGGCGUUCGUUUGGCAAACACCCAAAGGUAUAGGCCAAACUGAAGGACACAUGUCCUGCACAAAAAGGGUUGCGGUCAGUGAAGUUUAGAAGUGUCCAUUCAUUGGCAAAUUGGCGCAAUUGAUGUUUGUGUGACUGACGGAUCCGGAUGCACAUCCACAUCGAACGAAGGCAGGGAAAUUGAGCAAAUAAAAGUGUCACAAAACACUUUGUCCGAAGGGUUGCGAAACAAUUGUGCAAACUUUACACAACUUUUACUUUUAGAAUUCAAGAAUAGCAAAAUGGAACAGAAAUGAGAAGAUUAACUCUGGGGCCAUCGGGCCAACUGGAUAUCUGCAGAAUUGGACUUUUCGGACGUAUUGGUUACUUUAGCUACCAGAGGCAUAAACAAUGUCGAAAUGGAAACAGUAUUAUGUAUAUUUCAUAUAUAUUUUUACUUCGAUGAAUUUUAGAAAUUCUAUAACUUCUAUAUAACUUUUUCGUAUUUAAACCCUAAUUAUAAAUGCCCCUGAAUUUACAAUUGGAGCAGUUAGAGCAAAGACCAAGGCGGAUUUCUUUUAAAAGUCGGCCAAAUCCCACAAUUUUUUAAUGUUUCAAAAUAAAUUCGGAUUGUACGAUUUA